Molecule: long non-coding RNA, 3857 nt
Organism: Odontomachus brunneus
Lineage: Eukaryota; Metazoa; Arthropoda; Insecta; Hymenoptera; Formicidae
Exons: 7
Source: RefSeq, a predicted model, not a curated record
GAUCAAUUCAUAUCCACUCCUCCAAAGUAAUUAAAAGCAUUGGAAAAAAUCUCAUAGUGAAGAAAAAUAUAGGAAACUGAUAACAGAAAGCGUUUGUGGAAGAUACUCAGAUUUUCUUACAAAGCACAAUGAAAGUAUUCCUUAACAUUUGCUUGAUUAUCGUGAUGAUAUCAAUGGGAAUAUCACAACCUUUACUGAUUACGCUGUCAGGUCAUGUUAUAAAUAAACGUUUCGCGGCGAUUCCUAGACCGAUUCCUACUGUCAUAGGUUUACUUAUGAAACAAACCGCUAUGUGUCCCACAAAUUUGCGGAAAGAUCCACGUGGAAUAUGUCGGGAGCAGGUGUAAUAAUAUUACAUGCACGUUGGUGUAAAAUACAGAUUCUAAUAAUAUUUUCAUACAACAACUGCGAAGUAAUAGACUGAAAAUAAUGGAAUAAGUCAAGAAAUGUAAAAUAGUAUACGACAUCUUAUAAAUAUGAAUAAAUAAAAAUUUUUAUAAUUAUUCGUUGAACAUGUCUGAUAUCAAAACAAAGCCCUAUUAAUUGUAAUAUUGUAACGAGUAAUCUUCGAAUGGUUUUAGUCGGCGCUCAUUGUUUGUUAAAAAGUUAUUGAAAAAAAAUUCUAUAAACGGAACGUAAUUUUGGUACAUAGUAUACAUUGAAAUAUGGUAAGCAGUACACGUAUAUGGCGGGGGAGUAGCCCCACUCCUCCCCCAGCAUCCCUUCUCCAAAAAACUCCCUCUAACCUUAAUGUAACUCAUCUAUUGAAAUAUGAUAAAACGUACACGUAUAUGCGUAACUUAUUCUUUAUAUUUUUAAUCAUAACUUGUCAAUGAAAAACAAUAUAAGAAUUCAAAUGCAGAUACAGUUUGCGAUAUUUCAAUGUACACUAUAUGCAAAAAAUAUUGCAAGCAGUUUUAUUGUUUUUCAUUGUUGUAUUACAUAAUUUUCACAAACUAUGUAUAAAAAUGUAAAGAAUAUGUUAUGCAUAUACGUGUACGUUUUACCAUAUUUUAAUGGAUGGAUUAGGUUAGGUUGUGUUAGGAUUAGUUUUUUCGGGAAGCAGUACUGGGAAAAGGGCAAAGCCCCUCUCCCGCACAUAUACUUGUAAUUUACCAUAUUUCGUUUACUGUUUACCUACUAUACUUUAUGUACGCUGUGUUGGUACUAAUAUAAAUUUUUUUGUUAAUAACUUGUUAUUAAACUAUGAGUGCCAGCUAAAACUUUUUGAACGUUACUUAGGGCAGUGACUUUGACUUUAUCAAGGUCAAUGUUAUUGAAGCUGCUUCCUUUAUGUCCGAUAAUUACUCUUAAUUUAUAAUUACAAUACACCUGAAACGUACAAAUCACAUCUGAUUGACACAAAAUAAAUUUUAUGCUUUAUAUGUGGACAUAGAACAUAUAUUCACACAAGAAGAUUUAAGAUUGCUUAUCGGAAGGGGAAGUUACUUUAUAAACAUUCCUUUUAUAUAACCGGUAAAUUCUCCACAAUGUCAACGAAAAGAUCCGCAUGGAAUAUGCGUUGCGGAAAGCUACAACAAAGUCUUAUGUAAAGGAUAUUACACUCAGUACAAACUGGUUUAUGCAACAUAAUGAUAAAUGAUAAUGAUAAUAAGCUUUACGUAAUAAAGAAGAAUAUUAACGAGAUUAUGGGAGAUUAUAAAUACAAAACACAGGGGAGAGAACAGUCAAUUCACAUCCACUCCUUCAAAUUAAAAGCAUCAGAAGAUUCAAGAGGAAACUGCGGUUGUAAAAGAUAUUCAGAUUUUCUCACAAAGCACAAUGAAGAUACUCUUUAAUAUUUGCUUGAUUAUGAUGCUGACAACUAUAGCAAUACCAAUGGGAAUAUCACAACCUACGUCUACGAUUAUGUCUGUUACAAAUAAGCCUUAUAUGUCAACUCAUCCAACCGUGGCUUAUACUCUCAUAGGUGUUCUUCAAAGAACCACUACUUGUCCCACAAACUUUCGGAAAGAUACAAAUGGAAUAUGUCGUGAGCAGGAGUAACAAUAUUACAUGCAUGUUGGUGUAAAAUACAGGUUUCAAUAAUAUUUCUAUACAACAACUGCGAAGUAAUAAACUCGAAGUAAUGGAAUAAGACAAGAAAUGUAUAAUAAUAUGUGGUAUUUUAAUUUCAUAUUAAUUUCAUAUUAAUCUUAAUUAUAUAUUAAUAUGAAUAAAUUUCACAUUAAUAUAAAAUUAAAUUAAAUUAUUUAAUUAAAAUAUUAUCUUAAUUUCAUAUUAAUAUGAAUAAAUAAAAAUUUUAUUCAUUAAACAUGUCUGAUAAACAUGACAAUAAAACUCCAUUAAUUGUAAUGUUAAAGUGGCCAAGUAUCAAUGCAAUUACUAACUGUAUUUACCGUAGAUAGAAUAUUGUUAUUGUUACUCGUUACACAAUGAUUAAAAUAAGAAGUUAAAUCAUUACCGUUUUUUAUCGCCCGAAUUCUUCUUCUGCAUUACAUAAAUUUUAUUAUCGUUAUGCAAAAAAACCAGUUAAUUUGUUAAUGAGGAUAAUAUGUAAUAUUAAUUUAGAUAAUAUGUGGCAAUCUCACAGAUGUAUGAAUAAAUAUAAAUAAACAUGAUUAAUGUCAAUUUUUGUGUUAUUUUGGGUGAAUCCUCUGUAUUAUUUCAGAUAACUAAACCGAAAUUUUUGCACAAUAAAAACAUUCUUAAUAGUUGAUUAUGUUGAUAACAAUCAGUAUGCGCAAUAUCAAUGGGAAUUUUCCCAAGCGCUUACUGUCAGAUGUAUCAUCAUAUAAAUUCAUUAAUGAAUAAACCGGUUUUUUUGCAUAACUAAUAAAAUUCAUGUAACUUUUUUCGUUAAUAACUUGUUAUUAAACUAUGAGUGCAAGCUAAAACCUUUUGAAUGUUACUUAAGGCAGUGACUUUGACUGUAUCAAGGUCAAGGUUAUUGAAACUGCUUCCUCUAUGCCCGAUAAUUACUCUUAUUUUAUAAUUACAAUACACUUGGAACGUACAAAUCACACCUGAUUGACACAAAAUUUUAUGCAUUAUAUGUGGACAUAGAACAUAUAUUCACACAAGAAGAUUUAAGAGUGUUUAUCGAAAGCGGAAAUUACUUUAUAAACAUUCUUUUUAUAUAACCGGUAAAUUCUCCACAAUGUCAACGGAAAGAUCCGCAUGGAAUAUGCGUUGCGGAAAACUACAACAAAGUCUUAUGUAAAGGAUAUUACACUGAACACAAACUGGUUUGUGCGUAAUGAUAAAUGGUAAUGAUAAUAAACUUUACGUAUUAGACGAAUAUUAAUGAGAUUAUGGAAGAUUAUAAAUACGAAACGCAGGAGAGAGAACAGUCAAUUCACAUCCACUCCUCCAAAUUAAAAGCAUCGGAUGAUUCAAGAGGAAACUGCGAUUGUGGAAGGUAUUCAGAUUUUCUCACAGAGCACAAUGAAGAUACUCUUUAAUAUUUGCUUGAUUAUGGUACUGACAAUUAUAGCGAUACCAAUGGGAAUAUCACAACCUACGCCUACGUUUGCGCCUAAGUUUGCGCCGCACCCACGAAAACCUGUUACAAAUAAGCCUUUUGUGCCAACUUAUCCCGCCGCGGCUCCUACUAUCGUAGGUGUUCGCGAAAGAGCCACUACUUGUCCCCCAAAUUAUCAGAAAGAUCCACAUGGAAUAUGUCGGGAGCAGGUGUAAUAAUAUUACAUGCACGUUGGUGUAAAAUACAGGUUUGGACACCGCGGAUCCCACCGCUGCCACCAGUUUUUAUUGUGCCCUUAGUAGCGCCGAGCACAACUGGGUAGUUGGGCUCCGAAGUUAACCAUGCAGACAGAGCGGAAUAGUCGCGGAGUAAAUAAUAGUUGUCAAAUUUAAUAAAGUUUCGGUUUGAUUUA